UGGGAGUGUAUUGCAUCCAUGGCACGUCAUGCCAUUAAAUUUUGGUCACCGAAGGACACUAAAUGGUAAUAUAUAUAUAUAUAUGAAUGAGGAUGUGUAUUACCCAGCUUAGUCCACUCAAAUUCGAGUUGUGACUUCCCACUCUUUUAGUCAUUUAAUUAAUAUAUAAAAUAUGAUAAUUUUUUUAUUAAAAUGAUGAUUUAUUACUGUUUUUAUUAAUAAUAAUUAAUUUAUCUAAAGUUCUGUACAGGAUUGACG
RNAcentral lists this unclassified non-coding RNA (258 nucleotides) under Hevea brasiliensis (rubber tree). Lineage: Eukaryota; Viridiplantae; Streptophyta; Magnoliopsida; Malpighiales; Euphorbiaceae. The record is from RNAcentral.